AAAACUUUCUUUUAUUAGGUACAGAAAUACAUGACGUCCAGAAAGUCACAUUCAGCCAGAGAGAGCGAGAGAAGCCAUGAACCCUGCAGGUCCUGACAUGGAGAAUAACAGCCAAGGUUUUUUCACUCCCGUUACUGUUGUUCAGAUUGACGAAAAUCCAAUUCUGGUGAAAGAUCACGUUUUAUGGUCUCUGUGCAGUUUCCACUUCAUGAAUUACUGCUGCCUUGGACUGAUUGCUUUAUGGUAUUCAAUUAGACAUUAGGGAGAAGCAGAAGAUCAUUCUGAGGAAGGUAAAUAAUCCAUGCCUGCCGUUUGCUACUCUGCAGAAGUCCUCUAUUUGAAUGUAUGAUGUCAAGAAACAGAUAAACAGCUAUUCUUAUAUACUUGGUUUUAGCUGCAAUAAAACCCAUGCUUUGCCAGAAUGUUAACAGAA
Erpetoichthys calabaricus (reedfish) is the source of this 433-nucleotide long non-coding RNA. RefSeq lists it as uncharacterized. NCBI's taxonomy places the organism in Eukaryota, Metazoa, Chordata, Cladistia, Polypteriformes, Polypteridae. The record is from RefSeq and is a predicted model, not a curated record. The transcript has 2 exons.